Molecule: ribosomal RNA, 1335 nt
Filed under: Arthrobacter globiformis
Lineage: Bacteria; Bacillati; Actinomycetota; Actinomycetes; Micrococcales; Micrococcaceae
Description: bacterial SSU rRNA
Rfam family: Bacterial small subunit ribosomal RNA
Source: RNAcentral
UGCUUGCAUCGGGGAUUAGUGGCGAACGGGUGAGUAACACGUGAGUAACCUGCCCUUGACUCUGGGAUAAGCCUGGGAAACUGGGUCUAAUACCGGAUAUGACUCCUCAUCGCAUGGUGGGGGGUGGAAAGCUUUUGCGGUUUUGGAUGGACUCGCGGCCUAUCAGCUUGUUGGUGAGGUAAUGGCUCACCAAGGCGACGACGGGUAGCCGGCCUGAGAGGGUGACCGGCCACACUGGGACUGAGACACGGCCCAGACUCCUACGGGAGGCAGCAGUGGGGAAUAUUGCACAAUGGGCGAAAGCCUGAUGCAGCGACGCCGCGUGAGGGAUGACGGCCUUCGGGUUGUAAACCUCUUUCAGUAGGGAAGAAGCGAAAGUGACGGUACCUGCAGAAGAAGCGCCGGCUAACUACGUGCCAGCAGCCGCGGUAAUACGUAGGGCGCAAGCGUUAUCCGGAAUUAUUGGGCGUAAAGAGCUCGUAGGCGGUUUGUCGCGUCUGCCGUGAAAGUCCGGGGCUCAACUCCGGAUCUGCGGUGGGUACGGGCAGACUAGAGUGAUGUAGGGGAGACUGGAAUUCCUGGUGUAGCGGUGAAAUGCGCAGAUAUCAGGAGGAACACCGAUGGCGAAGGCAGGUCUCUGGGCAUUAACUGACGCUGAGGAGCGAAAGCAUGGGGAGCGAACAGGAUUAGAUACCCUGGUAGUCCAUGCCGUAAACGUUGGGCACUAGGUGUGGGGGACAUUCCACGUUUUCCGCGCCGUAGCUAACGCAUUAAGUGCCCCGCCUGGGGAGUACGGCCGCAAGGCUAAAACUCAAAGGAAUUGACGGGGGCCCGCACAAGCGGCGGAGCAUGCGGAUUAAUUCGAUGCAACGCGAAGAACCUUACCAAGGCUUGACAUGGACCGGAUCGCCGCAGAAAUGUGGUUUCUCCUUUGGGGCCGGUUCACAGGUGGUGCAUGGUUGUCGUCAGCUCGUGUCGUGAGAUGUUGGGUUAAGUCCCGCAACGAGCGCAACCCUCGUUCCAUGUUGCCAGCACGUAGUGGUGGGGACUCAUGGGAGACUGCCGGGGUCAACUCGGAGGAAGGUGGGGACGACGUCAAAUCAUCAUGCCCCUUAUGUCUUGGGCUUCACGCAUGCUACAAUGGCCGGUACAAAGGGUUGCGAUACUGUGAGGUGGAGCUAAUCCCAAAAAGCCGGUCUCAGUUCGGAUUGGGGUCUGCAACUCGACCCCAUGAAGUCGGAGUCGCUAGUAAUCGCAGAUCAGCAACGCUGCGGUGAAUACGUUCCCGGGCCUUGUACACACCGCCCGUCAAGUCACGAAAGUUGGUAACACCCG